RNAcentral lists this transfer RNA (72 nucleotides) under Camelus ferus (Wild Bactrian camel). It matches the Rfam family "tRNA". From Rfam's summary of the family: Transfer RNA (tRNA) molecules are approximately 80 nucleotides in length. Their secondary structure includes four short double-helical elements and three loops (D, anti-codon, and T loops). The record is from Rfam by way of RNAcentral. Lineage: Eukaryota; Metazoa; Chordata; Mammalia; Artiodactyla; Camelidae.
GUGGGUAUAGCUCAGUGGUAGAGUGCAUGCUUAGCACGCAUGACGUCCUUGGUUCAAUCCCCAUUACCUCCA